AGAAAUUGAAAGAGAUGGGAAGAAGGAAAAACUCAAUGAAUCUGGUCUCCUGUUUUCUUGGAGUGGCUUCCCCCAAAAGGGAAGAAAAAGAAUCGAUCCACCUUGGUCCCAGCCUUCUUGGUCGUCCUCUACUUUUUUUUUUUUUUCUUUCAAGCCAUCUUCACCCGAAAAAGAAAGAAUCAAUCCAGAAUCUGCCUCUUCAAUUCGGUAGAUUUUUGGCCUUGGAUUGUGGGCCGUUUUUCACUUAGAAAACGCGAGAAUUUCAAAAUCUCUAUUUCAGGAGAAAUUGUAGCACGUUAAAUUAACUUUCCAAGGCCUCUUGAAUCAGCUUAAUACGACAUCGAAUGAGGGACAUAUGGUGAAAAUACGAAGGGCAGU
RNAcentral lists this long non-coding RNA (378 nucleotides) under Olea europaea subsp. europaea. Lineage: Eukaryota; Viridiplantae; Streptophyta; Magnoliopsida; Lamiales; Oleaceae. The record is from RNAcentral.